UGAGGAAUAUUGGACAAUGGGCGAAAGCCUGAUCCAGCUAAAUCGCGUGGGUGAUGAAGACUGUAUUGGUUGUAAAGCCCUUUACUUAAAGAGAGAUUAUGACAAAGUUUAAGAAAAAAGUCCCGGCCAAUCUCGUGCCAGCAGCCGCGGUAAUACGAGAGGGGCAAGCGUUAUUCGGAAUGAUUGGGCGUAAAGCGCACGUAGGCUGUUUAGAAAGUCACAAGUUAAAAAGAUCAAAGCUUAACUUUGAAAAAGAUUUGUUUGACUUCUAAACUUGAGUGAAUAAGAAGAGAAUGGAAUUCCUGGCGUAGAGGUAAAAUUUGUUGAUAUCAGGAGGAACACCAAAAGCGAAGGCAGUUCUCUAGUAUUCCACUGACGUUGAGGUGCGAAAGCGUGGGGAUCAAAAG
Molecule: ribosomal RNA, 407 nt
Filed under: uncultured bacterium
Lineage: Bacteria
Description: partial 16S ribosomal RNA
Rfam family: Bacterial small subunit ribosomal RNA
Source: RNAcentral